Molecule: ribosomal RNA, 484 nt
Filed under: uncultured bacterium
Lineage: Bacteria
Description: partial 16S ribosomal RNA
Rfam family: Bacterial small subunit ribosomal RNA
Source: RNAcentral
AUUGAACGCUGGCGGCAGGCCUAACACAUGCAAGUCGAGCGGAUGAAGGGAGCUUGCUCCUGGAUUCAGCGGCGGACGGGUGAGUAAUGCCUAGGAAUCUGCCUGGUAGUGGGGGAUAACGUCCGGAAACGGGCGCUAAUACCGCAUACGUCCUGAGGGAGAAAGUGGGGGAUCUUCGGACCUCACGCUAUCAGAUGAGCCUAGGUCGGAUUAGCUAGUUGGUGGGGUAAAGGCCUACCAAGGCGACGAUCCGCAACUGGUCUGAGAGGAUGAUCGGUCACACUGGAACUGAGACACGGUCCAGACUCCUACGGGAGGCAGCAGUGGGGAAUAUUGGACAAUGGGCGAAAGCCUGAUCCAGCCAUGCCGCGUGUGUGAAGAAGGUCUUCGGAUUGUAAAGCACUUUAAGUUGGGAGGAAGGGCAGUAAGUUAAUACCUUGCUGUUUUGACGUUACCAACAGAAUAAGCACCGGCUAACUUCGUG